AGUGAACGCUGGCGGUAGGCCUAACACAUGCAAGUCGAACGGCAGCACAGUAAGAGCUUGCUCUUACGGGUGGCGAGUGGCGGACGGGUGAGGAAUACAUCGGAAUCUACUUUUUCGUGGGGGACAACGUAGGGAAACUUACGCUAAUACCGCAUACGACCUACGGGUGAAAGCAGGGGAUCUUCGGACCUUGCGCGAUUGAAUGAGCCGAUGUCGGAUUAGCUAGUUGGCGGGGUAAAGGCCCACCAAGGCGACGAUCCGUAGCUGGUCUGAGAGGAUGAUCAGCCACACUGGAACUGAGACACGGUCCAGACUCCUACGGGAGGCAGCAGUGGGGAAUAUUGGACAAUGGGCGCAAGCCUGAUCCAGCCAUACCGCGUGGGUGAAGAAGGCCUUCGGGUUGUAAAGCCCUUUUGUUGGGAAAGAAAAGCGGCAGGUUAAUACCCCGCUGUUCUGACGGUACCCAAAGAAUAAGCACCGGCUAACUUCGUG
RNAcentral lists this ribosomal RNA (492 nucleotides) under uncultured bacterium. RNAcentral's name for it is "partial 16S ribosomal RNA". It matches the Rfam family "Bacterial small subunit ribosomal RNA", at positions 29 to 507 of the family's 1533-position model. The record is from RNAcentral.